AGAGUUUGAUCCUGGCUCAGACGAACGCUGGCGGCGUGCUUAACACAUGCAAGUCGAACGAUGAAGCCCUUCGGGGUGGAUUAGUGGCGAACGGGUGAGUAACACGUGGGCAAUCUGCCCUUCACUCUGGGACAAGCCCUGGAAACGGGGUCUAAUACCGGAUAAUACUCCUGCCUGCAUGGGCGGGGGUUAAAAGCUCCGGCGGUGAAGGAUGAGCCCGCGGCCUAUCAGCUUGUUGGUGGGGUAAUGGCCCACCAAGGCGACGACGGGUAGCCGGCCUGAGAGGGCGACCGGCCACACUGGGACUGAGACACGGCCCAGACUCCUACGGGAGGCAGCAGUGGGGAAUAUUGCACAAUGGGCGAAAGCCUGAUGCAGCGACGCCGCGUGAGGGAUGACGGCCUUCGGGUUGUAAACCUCUUUCAGCAGGGAAGAAGCGAAAGUGACGGUACCUGCAGAAGAAGCGCCGGCUAACUACGUGCCAGCAGCCGCGGUAAUACGUAGGGCGCAAGCGUUGUCCGGAAUUAUUGGGCGUAAAGAGCUCGUAGGCGGCUUGUCACGUCGGAUGUGAAAGCCCGAGGCUUAACCUCGGGUCUGCAUUCGAUACGGGCUAGCUAGAGUGUGGUAGGGGAGAUCGGAAUUCCUGGUGUAGCGGUGAAAUGCGCAGAUAUCAGGAGGAACACCGGUGGCGAAGGCGGAUCUCUGGGCCAUUACUGACGCUGAGGAGCGAAAGCGUGGGGAGCGAACAGGAUUAGAUACCCUGGUAGUCCACGCCGUAAACGUUGGGAACUAGGUGUUGGCGACAUUCCACGUCGUCGGUGCCGCAGCUAACGCAUUAAGUUCCCCGCCUGGGGAGUACGGCCGCAAGGCUAAAACUCAAAGGAAUUGACGG
This 892-nucleotide ribosomal RNA is filed under the name Streptomyces sp. RNAcentral describes it as "bacterial SSU rRNA". It matches the Rfam family "Bacterial small subunit ribosomal RNA", at positions 8 to 916 of the family's 1533-position model. Lineage: Bacteria; Bacillati; Actinomycetota; Actinomycetes; Kitasatosporales; Streptomycetaceae. The record is from RNAcentral.